This 72-nucleotide transfer RNA is filed under the name Camelus bactrianus (Bactrian camel). It matches the Rfam family "tRNA". Rfam says of the family: Transfer RNA (tRNA) molecules are approximately 80 nucleotides in length. The record is from Rfam by way of RNAcentral. Lineage: Eukaryota; Metazoa; Chordata; Mammalia; Artiodactyla; Camelidae. RNAcentral also lists the same sequence under 1 other name.
GACGGUAUCACUCAGUGGUAGAGAGCAUGCUUAGGAUGCAAGAAGUCUUGGGUUCAAUCCCCAGUACCUUCA